Molecule: non-coding RNA, 2918 nt
Organism: Misgurnus anguillicaudatus (oriental weatherfish)
Lineage: Eukaryota; Metazoa; Chordata; Actinopteri; Cypriniformes; Cobitidae
Source: RefSeq, a predicted model, not a curated record
AGAAGUAAUGCGCUUCAUAAUGAAUUAAGCUCUGUAAAACAUCACAUUAUACUCCAUGAACUUCAAUUCAUUUGCCUGACAGUGCACUAGCAUUUUAAAUAAUAAACUACAAUGCUUUAUACCAGUUUCAUAAUCCACAACUGCUUUACCACACUGGCUCUGACAACGGCUGGCAACUCUUUUUACCUAGUACUUGCAGUACUAAUCUCAGCAGUCUAAUCAGGCAAUAAGAUACUGUAUCGGGACACUAACAUAACAAUUGAUAUGAACUGUAACUGGCCAUUACUCAACUCAACUCUUUUAACUCUCUUCUCCUGGUUAUAAUCUAAAUAAUGCUUCUUAGUUUUACGCUCUUAUUAAUGAUAAUCUAUAUAUAUCAUAUAUGAUGUAAUAGUAUAUGAAUGACUAUACAGUAAAUGGCUGGCCACAUCAAAGCACCAAAGUGGAAGACUCAUGGCAAUUGCAGGACAAAAGGUACAACACACAAUCUCAGUACAAACAUUUAGCAAGUGAAGACAAUUUGCAAGCUCAUGGAUCACAUACAGUAAGAACAGCCAACAGCUGCAUUGCAAAUAGGGAUGUGCAUAACUGCAUAUUUUCAAAACCAACCAGGUAAAGGCGGGGUGCAUGAUUUUUGAAAAACACACUUGUAGCCAAUCAGCAGUAACGGGCGUGUCUACUAUCUGACAUUGUUUCCUGGGUUGCGUAUGUGUGGGGCGGGUCUAUCAAAAGAAGGUCCAGAUUCUAUUGGGGUAGGGGCGUGUUUGUUUAGGUGAUUUCAAAUGUCAACAUUGGCUUUCAGAGAUCAUGCACCCCGCCUUUAAAUAUUUGCCUAAACAACUAGUGCUAAUGUGUUUAAAUUGUUUAGUGACUAUCACAUACUAUAAAACUUGCAUAUAAAGGUGCAUAAAAGGUUCUUUUUACGCAAUGCCAUGGAUGAACCAUUUUUGGUUUUCCUUAAAGAACCAUUCAAUCAAAGGUUCUUAAAAGAACAAUUGAAGAGUUUGGUUCCAAAACGCAAUAAAUCCAUUUUGACAAAUUUCGGUAAAAACGUGUUUUCUAUACCAAGAAAGUGACAAGAUGAAAAACACUAUUUUCUGUUACAAACUUUCCCAUAGCAUCUUUAGGUUAUAAAAACAUAAAAAAUUAAAAUCCAUAACUUGAUUUUUAAAGAUUUAUUAUAAAAACAAAUUAUUUUUUUUCAAAAUGCUAUAAAUCUAUUCAAUCAAUGUAUAAAUGUGCAUUCAUCUUUGCCAUGAUAUAUUAAUUUAGUUGAACAGUGGUAUACACUUAUAAAAAAUAAACAUUAAUGGCAUUAAUCAAAACACUGACUUUGUUAUAUUAAUGACACUGUCAUUGCUGCGGUUAUACUUGACGCCGUCGCUUAACAUUUUUCAAAGCGAUUCGCUGUAAAAUGUUUUGGUCCUGCUCGAUUUUCGUUGACUUUGAGUAAAAUAAUGGAAAGUUUUUCGUAAGAUCCCCUGCGGGGUCAAUGUGUUAAAAUCACAUAAACUUCACAGAUGCUGUCAGGAGAACAAGCACCCGUCUCCCGAGUGUCUCUCGCGUAAGUUAUUGGAUGUUGAUGACUUACAAUUUUUCCCGUCACAGAAAACAACCACAGGUUUAUCAAAGCUAUUAAAGUAUUAUUUUGCUUUUGUUUGUUUGUUGAUCACGAAGUACAAAGUAGAUGAGGAAAACUAAGAUUCCGUGUACUCAACGCAGCGCCAUUGUUUGUUUACAGUGCGUGGAGGGAAUGGUGCGCUGUAAUAUGUGGAGGGGGAUUUAUUGCGUUCUGUAGAAAAGGAGGAGUGGCAUAUAUCGCGUUUUGGGAAAAAAGGGAGAAAAGAUGACAGAAUAACAUGGCGGAUAUUGGAUUUUGCGUAAAAUUAAGAAUUUACUUUUAAAUACUGACCUGAUAUAGUACUGAUUUUGUCAGUAACUAAUUUUUUUUUCAAAAAUGGCGUUUAUUGCGUUUUGGAACCAAACUCUUCAAUUUCUUUCAUACAUUUUAAAGAACCUUUUUCCACUACAAAGAACCUUUUGUGAAACAGAAAGGUUCUUUAGAUUUAAAAGUUCUUUAUGAAACAAUUCAGCCAGAAAUGGUUCUUCUAUGGCAUCAUGAAGCACCCUUAUUUUACAAAGUGAAGAUGCAUAUUAGCUGUUACAAAGAAAUUGAAUAGAACGUUAGCAUGUUUUAAAGUCGACCUCUUCAAAUUUGACAUGCCAUCUUUAUGUUACUACACAGCAAAUUUAGCAGAGUUAAAAUUACGGUGUUAAUGGCAAUAUAAAGAGUUUGGAGUUAAUUUAACACUGGAUUGAGUUAAAACUAUUUUAUUUAACUCUAUAAAAAUAAAGAGUUGGUGUCAAAACAGAGUGUUACCACUUUUUAAAAAAAUCAACUCCCACAGUGUUUUCUUAGUGGAGUUUGUUAACUCCUAGGGUGUUAAAUAGAGAAGACCUCCCACUUUUUACAGCACACACUGAACAUGUUUUUGGAUGAUGCAGUUCAAGCAGAAGGUCUUCUCUUUUACUGUAAAUGGAGAUUUGCUUUGGGGACUUAAGAGGAGCACAGAAAUAGGCCUACAUGAAAAUUUCUUCAGACGAAGAGCAAUUUUAUAACAAAAAAAGUUCAAUAUCCAGUUUGAAGGUCUGACCGUCGAGGAUCAUAUCACCUCCUUACAGCUACUGGUUCAUCAUAUUCUGCUGUUAAUAUGUGAAGACCAACAUGGAUUUUGGAUUGAAAUGAAGUCAAACUUGUUUGUAUGAACUGAAGCAUCCCAUAAACUGUGUUUACUGUUGUUAUACAUUGGGAAUGUGCUUUUUAGUUGUCUCGGAUGUUAAUAUGUUAAUUUAAUGAACACUUAAAUGCAUGAUACAUUGAGGACAAUUUUUCUGUCAUAAAUAAAUGUUGAUCAGAU